This 473-nucleotide long non-coding RNA is filed under the name Gorilla gorilla gorilla (western lowland gorilla). RNAcentral's name for it is "lncRNA (ENSGGOG00000044586.1)". Lineage: Eukaryota; Metazoa; Chordata; Mammalia; Primates; Hominidae. The record is from RNAcentral.
CCUAGAACUGCCUCCUUCCAAGCGACACUGGGGCUGGCUCCCCAUCUGAGCCGUCUGGAGACCCUGUGGCUGGCAGGUGACGCCGUCCCCCGGCCCAGGGCCAAGGGGGAGCAGGGCUGUGGAGAGCAUGACCCCCUUGUUAAAUCACGUCUGCCUUUAUGCCUCGAUACACCACACAGAGAGAUGACAGGAGAUACCACCAAGAUGAGAUGCCAACCCGGGAGAGGCUCUGCAGGUCCCCUUGUGCCCACGUCUACCUGGCUUGUCCCCACAGGUGGGUUUUCUGAGACAAGGGGGAUUUUGGACACAGGUCUGUCCCCAGAGCCAGCCAGCAGCUCCAGAGAAGAGACAGCAGGUGCCCAGGACGAUGCGGCUUAGUUGCCAGGUAACGGUGGUCACCAUAGCAACAGCUGCCUCCUCAGAGGCCGCAGAAGCCUCGGCACCCCCCACCCUGCAGACCGGGGGUGGGGGAG